RNAcentral lists this ribosomal RNA (532 nucleotides) under uncultured bacterium. Its description in RNAcentral is "bacterial SSU rRNA". It matches the Rfam family "Bacterial small subunit ribosomal RNA", at positions 356 to 896 of the family's 1533-position model. The record is from RNAcentral.
GAGGAAUAUUGCACAAUGGGCGCAAGCCUGAUGCAGCGACGCCGCGUGGGGGAUGACGGCCUUCGGGUUGUAAACUCCUUUCGCUAGGGACGAAGCUUUUUGUGACGGUACCUAGAUAAGAAGCACCGGCUAACUACGUGCCAGCAGCCGCGGUAAUACGUAGGGUGCGAGCGUUGUCCGGAAUUACUGGGCGUAAAGGGCUCGUAGGUGGUUUGUCGCGUCGUCUGUGAAAUUCCGGGGCUUAACUCCGGGCGUGCAGGCGAUACGGGCAUAACUUGAGUACUGUAGGGGUAACUGGAAUUCCUGGUGUAGCGGUGAAAUGCGCAGAUAUCAGGAGGAACACCGAUGGCGAAGGCAGGUUACUGGGCAGUUACUGACGCUGAGGAGCGAAAGCAUGGGUAGCGAACAGGAUUAGAUACCCUGGUAGUCCAUGCCGUAAACGGUGGGCGCUAGGUGUGAGGGUCUUUUCACGACUUUCGUGCCGUAGCUAACGCAUUAAGCGCCCCGCCUGGGGAGUACGGCCGCAAGGCUA